Molecule: ribosomal RNA, 254 nt
Filed under: uncultured bacterium
Lineage: Bacteria
Description: partial 16S ribosomal RNA
Rfam family: Bacterial small subunit ribosomal RNA
Source: RNAcentral
GACGUAGGUGGCGAACGUUAUCCGGAAUUAUUGGGCGUAAAGGGCGCGUAGGCGGUCGUGACAAGUCACUUGUGAAAUCUCCGGGCUUAACUCGGAACGGUCAAGUGAUACUGUCGGACUAGAGUACAGAAGGGGCAACUGGAAUUCUCGGUGUAGCGGUGAAAUGCGUAGAUAUCGAGAGGAACACCUGCGGCGAAGGCGGGUUGCUGGGCUGAUACUGACGCUGAGGCGCGAAAGCCAGGGGAGCGAACGGG